RNAcentral lists this small nuclear RNA (28 nucleotides) under Cervus elaphus hippelaphus. The record is from RNAcentral. Lineage: Eukaryota; Metazoa; Chordata; Mammalia; Artiodactyla; Cervidae.
GCUCGCUUCGGCAGCACAUAUACUAAAA